GGGCCGGUGGCUCAGCUUGGUUAAUUGUUUCAAGCCAACGAGCACACGACUGAUAAUCGUGGGGUCGGGAGUUCAAAUCUCCCCCGGCCCA
This 91-nucleotide transfer RNA is filed under the name Nitrososphaerota archaeon. RNAcentral's name for it is "Thaumarchaeota archaeon tRNA-Ile". It matches the Rfam family "tRNA". Rfam says of the family: Transfer RNA (tRNA) molecules are approximately 80 nucleotides in length. The record is from RNAcentral. RNAcentral also lists the same sequence under 1 other name. Lineage: Archaea; Thermoproteati; Nitrososphaerota.